GAUGAACGCUGGCGGCGUGCCUAAUACAUGCAAGUCGAGCGAACAGACGAGGAGCUUGCUCCUCUGACGUUAGCGGCGGACGGGUGAGUAACACGUGGAUAACCUACCUAUAAGACUGGGAUAACUUCGGGAAACCGGAGCUAAUACCGGAUAAUAUAUUGAACCGCAUGGUUCAAUAGUGAAAGACGGUUUUGCUGUCACUUAUAGAUGGAUCCGCGCCGCAUUAGCUAGUUGGUAAGGUAACGGCUUACCAAGGCGACGAUGCGUAGCCGACCUGAGAGGGUGAUCGGCCACACUGGAACUGAGCCACGGUCCAGACUACUACGGGAGGCAGCAGUAGGGAAUCUUCCGCAAUGGGCGAAAGCCUGACGGAGCAACGCCGCGUGAGUGAUGAAGGUCUUCGGAUCGUAAAACUCUGUUAUUAGGGAAGAACAAAUGUGUAAGUAACUAUGCACGUCUUGACGGUACCUAAUCAGAAAGCCACGGCUAACUACGUG
RNAcentral lists this ribosomal RNA (497 nucleotides) under uncultured bacterium. Its description in RNAcentral is "partial 16S ribosomal RNA". It matches the Rfam family "Bacterial small subunit ribosomal RNA", at positions 28 to 507 of the family's 1533-position model. The record is from RNAcentral.